GAUGAACGCUGGCGGCGUGCCUAAUACAUGCAAGUCGAGCGAACAGACGAGGCGCUUGCUCCUCUGACGUUAGCGGCGGACGGGUGAGUAACACGUGGAUAACCUACCUAUAAGACUGGGAUAACUUCGGGAAACCGGAGCUAAUACCGGAUAAUAUAUUGAACCGCAUGGUUCAAUAGUGAAAGACGGUUUUGCUGUCACUUAUAGAUGGAUCCGCGCCGCAUUAGCUAGUUGGUAAGGUAACGGCUUACCAAGGCGACGAUGCGUAGCCGACCUGAGAGGGUGAUCGGCCACACUGGACCUGAGACACGGUCCAGACUCCUACGGGAGGCAGCAGUAGGGAAUCUUCCGCAAUGGGCGAAAGCCUGACGGAGCAACGCCGCGUGGGUGAUGAAGGUCUUCGGAUCGUAAAACUCUGUUAUUAGGGAAGAACAAAUGGGUAAGUAACUAUGCACGUCUUGACGGUACCUAAUCAGAGAGCCACGGCUAACUACGUG
Molecule: ribosomal RNA, 497 nt
Filed under: uncultured bacterium
Lineage: Bacteria
Description: partial 16S ribosomal RNA
Rfam family: Bacterial small subunit ribosomal RNA
Source: RNAcentral